Non-coding RNA from Microcebus murinus (gray mouse lemur), 2393 nucleotides. The record is from RefSeq and is a predicted model, not a curated record. NCBI's taxonomy places the organism in Eukaryota, Metazoa, Chordata, Mammalia, Primates, Cheirogaleidae.
CUUCACUUACAAGAACAGGAAGUGGAAGAAAGGUGCUGAGGGAGCCACAAGGAAGAACUGUAACCUGUGGAAUAUGAAUACGUCUUGGACACUGGCAGAAGUAGGAAAUAGCCAAGGGCUCAGCAUUAUUACAGUACGUGGAAAAUUAGCCCUGGAAUACUACAAGGGAAACUGAGUUCUACCAACUUGAGAUCCCUGGCAGAGAUGUUUUUAUUACCGGGUGUGUCUAAAGAAAUAAAGGCAGUGUAUCUCAGAAAAGUGUAUUUCAACUGUCUCCUGGGCCUUGGUGUUUGCAUUAGAAGCUCCAAGCAAAGAUAAGAUAGAGAGAGACUCUGUAACUGCCAUGCACUGAGGAAGCAUUUUCUACGACAACAUGCAUUUGUCUCUCAUGGAUUGUGGUAUGUAGAUGGUGGACCAGAGAUACCAGCUGCCAGAUUGUCUCAGAAAGAAGGAAAAGUUUUAGAUGAAAAAGAAAAAAACAAACAAACAAACAAAUAUAGUUCCAGUAUUAUCUUGAGGGAAACAUGCCAGAACAUACCAGAGACUCCAUGGGAAGAAGUUGCAGAGCAGAUCAGGAAGGAGCAAGGUAUCAGCAGCGGAGAUCAACCCUUCAGAGGCUUGAAGUCCAGUGACAAGGAACCUCCAUGAAUGUACUUAAUAUUUGUCUGUGAGAGAAACAAGUUUCUCCAGAAGGACAGUAAUUCUCUUAUUAUCAGAGCUUCUCUCUGUUGUUAAACACCCACCUGUUUAUUGAUCUGGCAUUGUUCAGGUAUCUUCCUUUGAAGAGCACUUCAGAGUGUCCUAGUCCCAAGGAGUACAUUGUCCUUCCAGUAUAUCUGAUGUGACACCGAAGGGAUGGAGGAUCAAAAAUCAAUCUAUUGGUGAUGACAUUCAAUCACCACUGACUGUGGUUGAAAUCGAAAAGAGAGCUCCAAUUGGAAAAGCAAGUUUCAUGCCACAUUACCCAUAAGCCAAUUGCUUGGCGUGUAAGGACAAACUGCACAAGGAACUCUAAGAGCCACUCAGCACCAGCUCACCAACAGUUUGGGACACAUGGUGAAGAACAUUAUCUUAACAGCAUUAACAGACUUCAGCAGUGAAGAAAUAGCCACCUGAGGCCUGGAAAGGAUAUGAAAGAAGCUAUAGAACCAAAUUAUGUUGGCAACAUUGAGCUAAGGAGGAAACAAGAAAAAUAUCAGUUAGUGAAAAAUGCUGUAAGGAAAAUUAAAAUAAGAGGAGCAAGACAUCAAAUAAUUCCAAGAGCAAACACAACGCAUAUGUGGUACAAAUAUUGAACCAUGAGUUUCAGGUCUUGAUGAAGUAUGGGUCAGGAAAUGCUUGGCUGGAGUAGAAAGUGUGGCCAUUGCUCACUGCCUGUCUGUGUAGCUCGCAGAUCCAGGAACUGAAUCAAAGUGAAGGGGAACCAUGAAAAUGCAUCUUGGUACUAAGCAUCUUGCUAUAUUGAACUGAAAAAUAAGCUAAGGGAUUAAUUUAGUUCACCAGAGUGUUGGCUCAAGUUUAACAGAGACACGAGAAGAAAGUUGACAAUAUAAAUGUAACAUCAUCUGGAUCACCCUACUAAUACAGGGAGGAAGACUUAGAUGGGGGUGGUGAUACAAGGAAGACUUCUCUGAAAGGAUAAAUAAGCAGAGAACCAAAGGAUAAAGCAUCAGUAUUUAUUGGCUAGCUGAAAAGUGGUGGAAAGAUAUUUGCAAGCAGAAGAAAUGGCAUGUACAAAGUUCCUAAGGUAGGAGAGACCUUGGCAUUUAAGACAUGGAAAGAGCAUCAGAAGGGCUAGAGGAAAGUGAGCAAGGAAGAGAAUGACCUGGAAUGGGACCAGAAAGGGAGGCCUGGGAAGAUUUGACACAGACACAAGAGGAGAAGGCAAUGUCUCUCCAGAUGCAGAGAUUGCAGUGAUGUAACCAUAAGCCAAGGAAUGCCAGCAGCCAUCAACAUCUAGCAGAAGCAAGGAACGAUUCUCCCCGAGAGCCUCAGGAAGGAGUGCAGCACUGCCAACACCUGCAUUCUGUCCCUGUGAAACUGACUUUGGACUUCUGGCCUGCAGAAUUGUGAGAGAUUGAUUUCUCUUGUUUUAAACUACCAAGUUUUUGGCAAUUUGUCACAAAAACAACAGGAAACUAAUACAUGAGUUUGGAAAAUAACAAAGUUGAAUAUUUUUUCACUCAGGUAAUUCUCUCUUCCUAGAUGAAGUGACCUUUCCCUAGCAUAUACUUUCCAGCACCUCAAACUUUACCUUUUGUAACCUUCACCAUAUUUGCUUUCAUCCAUCUUGUUUACCUCUGUGUUCCAAAGUGUGUGGCAAAGUAACUGACACAGAAUAGGGGAUCAAUAAAUAUUUGUUAAAUGAUCAGAUGGCAUUCAAGGCAAGGGUC